Molecule: long non-coding RNA, 1147 nt
Organism: Anas platyrhynchos (mallard)
Lineage: Eukaryota; Metazoa; Chordata; Aves; Anseriformes; Anatidae
Source: RefSeq, a predicted model, not a curated record
GCCAGAGCAGGUGGGUAAGGGAAUGAGGAAAACAGACAAGAAUUUGUGGUAAAACCUGUGAAUACCAUUAGUGCUUGGAAUUAUCUGGGACAAUUUGUAUAGUUUCUGGGCCAGGUGAAACAAAUCUGAUAUAACCUGACUUCCCCCAAAGCUUUUUACCUUUUAGUCCAAGAACACAGGUGCACCUUGAGAGUGGCUGUCCUACCUGGGGACACCCAUAAGGCUCUGCUAGCACUUUUGCCACUCUCCAGGAGGAAGGACUUCAGAUAGCUCAUAACCAGUUUUAGGCAUUGAGCUGCUUUACUUUGAACAAAUAGAAAAGCAUUUGAGCCGACCUGGUUAACAUUUCUGACAGCAGAACUCUCCCUGCUGGCAGUGCUGUGGGAAAGACAUCCCCCCGCUUGUGGAUCAUGCGAAGCAGAGAGGAUUGGUGUAGAUAUACCAGCCCAAAGUUUCUGUGGCCUUCUUGAAACUAGAUGCCAAGUUAUGGCAUCUUUGGAGUACCUGGCAUCAGAAUAGCUUGCAGAAACCAGCUUCUAGCGUUCACACCCUCUCUGGGUGGGGGGACACACUUAAUCUACUUACAUGGCUAUAUUCUUCACUACAACCGAUUUAAAUCCAUCCUGCUGUGGGCAAGACACACCAGUACCUCCAAUUGCCAUCCUUCCCUGUUGGGUUUACUGGGAUGGCUGAGAGCAGUAACAACUUCUGUCACGAGGGCUAGCCACACACUGGAUGUCUCCAUCUAACUAACCACAAAUGGGAGCUGUCAGCCUCCACAGUCCAAAACCCAAGGCGCCAUAAAGACUGUGACUAACCUGACUGUGUGCUGCAAACCCCUCCAGAUGAGGGCUGGGAGGGCUCUUGUGGGCAAUAAUUUCUUCUGGCAUUAAUCACUAUAUCUUGUAAGUAACUGGUACGUAAUAAAUGCAAUAGAUUGAGAGCAUUCAAACUCCCUGUGUCAAUCUCACAUCUCUUCUUAUUUACUUGGGGGAAAAAAAAAAAAAAAAAAAGAUUAAAUAAAUAAGGUCAAAAGUUCUUCUUCAGAAUAUUGAAUUAAAUACACGAGCACAAGCUGUUUCAUGAAAGCUCUUGUAAGAAAUUUCAUUGGCUAUAUCACAUUUGCAAGGAUAAGCAGUUACUAGCU